This 253-nucleotide ribosomal RNA is filed under the name uncultured bacterium. RNAcentral describes it as "partial 16S ribosomal RNA". It matches the Rfam family "Bacterial small subunit ribosomal RNA", at positions 524 to 776 of the family's 1533-position model. The record is from RNAcentral.
UACGUAGGCAGCGAGCGUUGUUCGGAAUUACUGGGCGUAAAGAGUGUGUAGGCGGUGCUCUAAGUUCUGUGUGAAAUCUCCUGGCUUAACUGGGAGGGUGCGCCGGAAACUGGAGUGCUCGAGCGUGGGAGAGGAAAGCGGAAUUCCUGGUGUAGCGGUGAAAUGCGUAGAUAUCAGGAGGAACACCUGUGGUGUAGACGGCUUUCUGGACCAUAGCUGACGCUGAGACACGAAAGCGUGGGUAGCAAACAGG